GAUGAAGAACGCAGCGAAAUGCGAUAAGUAAUGUGAAUUGCAGAAUUCAGUGAAUCAUCGAAUCUUUGAACGCACAUUGCGCCCGCUAGUAUUCUGGCGGGCAUGCCUGUCCGAGCGUCAUUUCAACCCUCAAGCCCCCGGGCUUGGUGUUGGGGAUCGGCGAGCCUCCGCGCCCGCCGUCCCCUAAAUCUAGUGGCGGUCUCGCUGUAGCUUCCUCUGCGUAGUAGCACACCUCGCACUGGGAAACAGCGCGGCCACGCCGUUAAACCCCCAACUUCUGAACGUUUGACCUCGGAUCAGGUAGGAAUACCCGCUGUACUUAAGCAUAUCAAUAAGCGGAGGA
RNAcentral lists this unclassified non-coding RNA (343 nucleotides) under soil metagenome. Its description in RNAcentral is "partial contains 5.8S ribosomal RNA, internal transcribed spacer 2, and large subunit ribosomal RNA". The stretch from base 1 to 120 matches the Rfam family "5.8S ribosomal RNA", at positions 35 to 154 of the family's 154-position model. The record is from RNAcentral.